This 289-nucleotide ribosomal RNA is filed under the name uncultured prokaryote. RNAcentral's name for it is "partial 16S ribosomal RNA". It matches the Rfam family "Bacterial small subunit ribosomal RNA", at positions 355 to 661 of the family's 1533-position model. The record is from RNAcentral.
UAGGGAAUAUUAGAAAUGGACGAAAGUCUGAUCUAGCAACACCGCGUGUGCGAAGAAGGCCUUCGGGUUGUAAAGCACUUUUUGGAAGGAUUAGGAAGGAAUGUACUUCCAGAAUAAGUCUCGGCUAACUACGUGCCAGCAGCCGCGGUAACACGUAGGAGGCAAACGUUAUCCGGAUUUACUGGGCGUAAAGCGCGUGUAGGUGGUUCUGUAAGUAGGGCGUGAAAGCUCCUGGCUCAACUGGGAGAGGCCGUUCUAAACUGCAGCGCUAGAGGAUGGUAGUGUGCAA